This 273-nucleotide ribosomal RNA is filed under the name uncultured Ralstonia sp. RNAcentral describes it as "partial 16S ribosomal RNA". It matches the Rfam family "Bacterial small subunit ribosomal RNA", at positions 524 to 796 of the family's 1533-position model. Lineage: Bacteria; Pseudomonadati; Pseudomonadota; Betaproteobacteria; Burkholderiales; Burkholderiaceae. The record is from RNAcentral.
UACGUAGGGUCCAAGCGUUAAUCGGAAUUACUGGGCGUAAAGCGUGCGCAGGCGGUUGUGCAAGACCGAUGUGAAAUCACCGAGCUUAACUUGGGAAUUGCAUUUGUGACUGCACGGCUAGAGUGUGUCAGAGGGGGGUAGAAUUCCACGUGUAGCAGUGAAAUGCGUAGAGAUGUGGAGGAAUACCGAUGGCGAAGGCAGCCCCCUGGGAUAACACUGACGCUCAUGCACGAAAGCGUGGGGAGCAAACAGGAUUAGAAACCCCAGUAGUCC